RNAcentral lists this ribosomal RNA (467 nucleotides) under Cardiochilinae sp. IKCFRG003. RNAcentral's name for it is "partial large subunit ribosomal RNA". The record is from RNAcentral. Lineage: Eukaryota; Metazoa; Arthropoda; Insecta; Hymenoptera; Braconidae.
CACCUGUUUAUCAAAAACAUGUCUUUUUGAAAAUAAUUUAAAGUCCAAUCUGCUCAAUGAUUAAUUAAUUUAAUAGCUGCAAUAUUUAUAAUUGUACUAAGGUAGCAUAAUCAUUAGUUUAUUAAUUGUAAACUUGUAUGAACGAUUUGAUGAAAUAAAUACUAUUUCAUUUUAAAAAAAUAAAUUUUUUUUUUAAGUUAAAAAACUUAAAUAAUAUUAAAAGACGAGAAGACCCUUUAGAAUUUUAUAAUAAUAAUUUAUAAAAAUUUUUAUAUAUUUAUAAAUAAUUAUUAUUUAAUUGGGGUGAUUAUAAAAUUUAAUAAACUUUUAUAUAAAUAAACAAUAAUUUUUGAAUAAAAUAUAUUUUUUUUAAAAAAAUAAAUUAAAUUACCUAAGGGAUAACAGCAUAAUUUUUUUAAAAAGCACAAAUUUAUAAAAAAGUUUAUGACCUCGAUGUUGAAUUAAGA